UACGUAGGUGGCGAGCGUUAUCCGGAAUGAUUGGGCGUAAAGGGUGCGUAGGCGGGCUUUUAAGUCAGCGGUAAAAAUUCGGGGCUCAACCCCGUCCGGCCGUUGAAACUGGGGAUCUAGAGUGUGCGAGAGGUAUGCGGAAUGCGUGGUGUAGCGGUGAAAUGCAUAGAUAUCACGCAGAACUCCGAUUGCGAAGGCAGCAUACCGGCGCUCAACUGACGCUGAGGCACGAAAGCGUGGGUAUCGAACAGG
RNAcentral lists this ribosomal RNA (252 nucleotides) under uncultured Bacteroidales bacterium. RNAcentral's name for it is "partial 16S ribosomal RNA". It matches the Rfam family "Bacterial small subunit ribosomal RNA", at positions 524 to 776 of the family's 1533-position model. Lineage: Bacteria; Pseudomonadati; Bacteroidota; Bacteroidia; Bacteroidales. The record is from RNAcentral.